GCAAUGAUGACUUUCUCCUUACUCAUCUGAUUAUUUCUGAUGAGUAAUUCAACCUCUAAGAAGUCCUGAGCUU
Small nucleolar RNA from Styela clava, 73 nucleotides. RefSeq annotates it as small nucleolar RNA SNORD61. The record is from RefSeq and is a predicted model, not a curated record. Lineage: Eukaryota; Metazoa; Chordata; Ascidiacea; Stolidobranchia; Styelidae.